GACGAACGCUGGCGGCGUGCUUAACACAUGCAAGUCGAACGAAGUGGCGAACGGGUGAGUAAUACGGGGGUAACCUGCCCUCCUUUUUGGGAUAAGCCUUGGAAACGGGGUCUAAUACCGAAUAAAGGGGGAUGGGCUCGCGGCCUAUCAGCUUGUUGUGGUGGUGAUGGUCUACCAAGGCGGUGACGGGUAGCCGGCCUGAGAGGGUGACCGGCCACAUUGGGACUGAGUUACGGCCCAUGCUCCUACGGGAGGCAGUAGUGGGGGAUAUUGCACCAGGGGCGAAAGACUGAUGCAGCGACGACGCGUGGGGGAUGAAGGCUUUCGGGUUGUAAACCUCUUUAGCUAUCGAACGGGUAGGUGCAGAAGAAGCGCCGGCUAACUACGUGCCAGCAGCCGCGGUAAUAC
RNAcentral lists this ribosomal RNA (408 nucleotides) under uncultured bacterium. RNAcentral describes it as "partial 16S ribosomal RNA". It matches the Rfam family "Bacterial small subunit ribosomal RNA", at positions 28 to 526 of the family's 1533-position model. The record is from RNAcentral.